AGGAUAGCGACUUCGGGUGGAACCAGCUUCCGUGGUGUGACGGGCGGUGUGUACAAGGCCCGGGAACGUAUUCACGGCGGCAUGCUGAUCCGCCAUUACUAGCGAUUCCGGCUUCACGGGGUCGAGUUGCAGACCCCGAUCCGAACUGAGGAGGGCUUUCUGGGAUUAGCUCCCCCUUGCGGGUUCGCAACCCUCUGUACCCCCCAUUGUAGCACGUGUGUAGCCCCGGGCAUAAGGGCCAUGCGGACUUGACGUCAUCCCCUCCUUCCUCCGGGUUAUCCCCGGCAGUCCCCUUAGAGUGCCCGGCUUUACCCGGUAGCAACUAAGGGCAGGGGUUGCGCUCGUUGCGGGACUUAACCCAACAUCUCACGACACGAGCUGACGACAGCCAUGCAGCACCUGUGCCAGAGCGCGUAGGGAAAACCCCACGCUCCCCCAGUGUUUCCACCGGGGUACAACCCUGGCAUGUCAAGCCCGGGUAAGGUUCUUCGCUCUGCAUCGAAUUAAACCACGUGCUCCACCGCUUGUGCGGGCCCCCGUCAAUUCCUUUGAGUUUCAGCCUUGCGGCCGUACUCCCCAGGCGGGGUGCUUAACGCGUUAGCUUCGGCCCUAGUACCGCGGCAGACGGGUGAGUAACACGUGAGUAACCUGUCCUCGGGUCUGGGAUAACCACCCGAAAGGGUGGCUAAUACCGGAUAAAGUCACCGGGCGCAAGCUCGGUGAUGAAAGGGGGCCUCUGCAUAGCAAGCUCCUGCCUGAGGAGGGGCUCGCGGCCCAUCAGCUAGUUGGUGGGGUAACGGCCCACCAAGGCGAUGACGGGUAGCCGGCCUGAGAGGGUGGUCGGCCACACGGGCACUGAGACACGGGCCCGACUCCUACGGGAGGCAGCAGUGGGGAAUCUUGGGCAAUGGGCGAAAGCCUGACCCAGCGACGCCGCGUGGGGGAAGAAGGCCUUCGGGUCGUAAACCCCUGUUCUGGGGGAAGAACCCUGACUGGGUUAAGAGCCCAGUCAGGCUGACGGUACCCCAGGAGAAAGCCACGGCUAACUGCGUGCCAGCAGCCGCGGUAAUACGCAGGUGGCGAGCGUUGCCCGGAAUUACUGGGCGUAAAGGGUGCGUAGGCGGCCGGACAAGUCGUAGGUUAAAGCCCGGGGCUCAACCCCGGAAGUGCCUACGAUACUGUCUGGCUUGAGGGCUGGAGAGGCUGGCGGAAUUCCCGGUGUAGGGGUGAAAUCCGUAGAUAUCGGGAGGAACACCGGAGGGGAAGCCGGCCAGCUGGACAGUCCCUGACGCUGAGGCACGAAAGCGUGGGGAGCAAACCGGAUUAGAUACCCGGGUAGUCCACGCUGUAAACGAUGGGUGCUAGGUCUGGGGAGGUAAUCUCUCCGGGCCGAAGCUAA
RNAcentral lists this ribosomal RNA (1399 nucleotides) under uncultured Thermodesulfobacteriaceae bacterium. RNAcentral describes it as "bacterial SSU rRNA". The stretch from base 543 to 1399 matches the Rfam family "Bacterial small subunit ribosomal RNA", at positions 1 to 855 of the family's 1533-position model. The record is from RNAcentral. Lineage: Bacteria; Pseudomonadati; Thermodesulfobacteriota; Thermodesulfobacteria; Thermodesulfobacteriales; Thermodesulfobacteriaceae.